GGGAGGUAGUGACAAUAAAUAACAAUACAGGGCUCUUACGGGUCUUGUAAUUGGAAUGAGUACAAUUUAAAUCUCUUAACGAGGAACAAUUGGAGGGCAAGUCUGGUGCCAGCAGCCGCGGUAAUUCCAGCUCCAAUAGCGUAUAUUAAAGUUGUUGCAGUUAAAAAGCUCGUAGUUGAAUUUUGGGUCUGGCCGGACGGUCCGCCUUUUAGGUAAGCACUGUUCCGAUGUUGGGCCUAUCCUUCUGGUGAGUCGGCAUGUCCUUUAUUGGGUGCGUCGGGGAACCAGGACCAUUACCUUGAAAAAAUUAGAGUGUUCAAAGCAGGCGUAUGCUCGAAUACAUUAGCAUGGAAUAAUAAAAUAGGACGCGUGGUGCUAUUUUGUUGGUUUCUAGAACCGCCGUAAUGAUUAAUAGGGAUAGUUGGG
Molecule: ribosomal RNA, 426 nt
Filed under: uncultured Ambisporaceae
Lineage: Eukaryota; Fungi; Glomeromycota; Glomeromycetes; Archaeosporales; Ambisporaceae
Description: SSU rRNA
Rfam family: Eukaryotic small subunit ribosomal RNA
Source: RNAcentral